RNAcentral lists this ribosomal RNA (740 nucleotides) under uncultured marine bacterium. Its description in RNAcentral is "bacterial SSU rRNA". It matches the Rfam family "Bacterial small subunit ribosomal RNA", at positions 8 to 791 of the family's 1533-position model. The record is from RNAcentral.
AGAGUUUGAUCAUGGCUCAGGACGAACGCUGGCGGCGUGCUUAAUACAUGCAAGUCGAACGAACCUUCGGGUUAGUGGCGGACGGGUGAGUAACGCGUGAGAAUCUGCCCUCAGGAGGAGGGCAACAACUGGGGAAACGCUUGCUAAUACCCCAUAUGCCCAAAGGUGAAACGAUUUUUCGCCUGAGGAUGAGCUCGCGUCUGAUUAGCUGGUUGGUGGGGUAACGGCCUACCAAGGCUUCGAUCAGUAGCUGGUCUGAGAGGACGAUCAGCCACACUGGGACUGAGACACGGCCCAGACUCCUACGGGAGGCAGCAGUAGGGAAUUUUCCGCAAUGGGCGAAAGCCUGACGGAGCAACGCCGCGUGAGGGACUAAGGCCUUUGGGCUGUAAACCUCUUUUCUCAAGGAAGAAGAUCUGACGGUACUUGAGGAAUAAGCCACGGCUAAUUCCGUGCCAGCAGCCGCGGUAAUACGGGAGUGGCAAGCGUUAUCCGGAAUUAUUGGGCGUAAAGCGUCCGCAGGCGGCCAAGCAAGUCUGUUGUUAAAGCGUGGAGCUCAACUCCAUCACUGCAAUGGAAACUGCUAGGCUUGAGUGUGGCAGGGGCAGAGGGAAUUUCCGGUGUAGCGGUGAAAUGCGUAUAUAUCGGGAAGGAACACCAGUGGCGAAAGCGCUCUGCUGGGCCAUUACUGACGCUCAUGGACGAAAGCCAGGGGAGCAAAAGGGAUUAGAUACCCCUUG